CGAAGCACUUAUCUUUGAUUCUUCGGAUGAAGAGGUUUGUGACUGAGUGGCGGACGGGUGAGUAACGCGUGGGUAACCUGCCUCAUACAGGGGGAUAACAGUUAGAAAUGACUGCUAAUACCGCAUAAGACCACGGAGCCGCAUGGCUCCGUGGGAAAAACUCCGGUGGUAUGAGAUGGACCCGCGUCUGAUUAGGUAGUUGGUGGGGUAACGGCCUACCAAGCCGACGAUCAGUAGCCGACCUGAGAGGGUGACCGGCCACAUUGGGACUGAGACACGGCCCAAACUCCUACGGGAGGCAGCAGUGGGGAAUAUUGCACAAUGGGGGAAACCCUGAUGCAGCGACGCCGCGUGAGCGAAGAAGUAUUUCGGUAUGUAAAGCUCUAUCAGCAGGGAAGAAAAUGACGGUACCUGACUAAGAAGCACCGGCUAAAUACGUGCCAGCAGCCGCGGUAAUACGUAUGGUGCAAGCGUUAUCCGGAUUUACUGGGUGUAAAGGGAGCGUAGACGGCUGUGUAAGUCUGAAGUGAAAGCCCGGGGCUCAACCCCGGGACUGCUUUGGAAACUAUGCAGCUAGAGUGUCGGAGAGGUAAGUGGAAUUCCCAGUGUAGCGGUGAAAUGCGUAGAUAUUGGGAGGAACACCAGUGGCGAAGGCGGCUUACUGGACG
RNAcentral lists this ribosomal RNA (668 nucleotides) under uncultured Lachnospiraceae bacterium. Its description in RNAcentral is "bacterial SSU rRNA". It matches the Rfam family "Bacterial small subunit ribosomal RNA", at positions 63 to 735 of the family's 1533-position model. The record is from RNAcentral. Lineage: Bacteria; Bacillati; Bacillota; Clostridia; Lachnospirales; Lachnospiraceae.